Molecule: ribosomal RNA, 615 nt
Filed under: uncultured Butyrivibrio sp.
Lineage: Bacteria; Bacillati; Bacillota; Clostridia; Lachnospirales; Lachnospiraceae
Description: bacterial SSU rRNA
Rfam family: Bacterial small subunit ribosomal RNA
Source: RNAcentral
GGACAACAGUUGGAAACGACUGCUAAUACCGCAUAAGCGCACAGCUUCGCAUGAAGCAGUGUGAAAAGUUUUUCGGUACAAGAUGGACCCGCGUCUGAUUAGCUAGUUGGUGAGGUAACGGCCCACCAAGGCGACGAUCAGUAGCCGACCUGAGAGGGUGACCGGCCACAUUGGGACUGAGACACGGCCCAAACUCCUACGGGAGGCAGCAGUGGGGAAUAUUGCACAAUGGGCGAAAGCCUGAUGCAGCGACGCCGCGUGAGCGAAGAAGUAUUUCGGUAUGUAAAGCUCUAUCAGCAGGGAAGAUAAUGACGGUACCUGACUAAGAAGCACCGGCUAAAUACGUGCCAGCAGCCGCGGUAAUACGUAUGGUGCAAGCGUUAUCCGGAUUUACUGGGUGUAAAGGGAGCGUAAGCGGUUUUACAAGUCUGAUGUGAAAGCCCGGGGCUCAACUCCGGUAUUGCAUUGGAAACUGUAGAACUAGAGUGUCGGAGGGGUAAGUGGAAUUCCUAGUGUAGCGGUGAAAUGCGUAGAUAUUAGGAGGAACACCAGUGGCGAAAGCGGCUUACUGGACGAUUACUGACGCUGAGGCUCGAAAGCGUGGGGAGCAAACAG